This is a long non-coding RNA of Stegostoma tigrinum, 8529 nucleotides long. RefSeq lists it as uncharacterized. The transcript is spliced from 7 exons. The record is from RefSeq and is a predicted model, not a curated record. NCBI's taxonomy places the organism in Eukaryota, Metazoa, Chordata, Chondrichthyes, Orectolobiformes, Stegostomatidae.
AUAGCAGUGUUUAAUGAAUAACCCUGGUUGAGUGCUGUUUGGCUGGUUUAAUAGUAAAUCUCUGGCUGAUCCAGGAGACUGAGUGCGCUGUGUGCUCUUUCACAGAUCAGGAUGAGUCACACACAUCCGAACUAGCACGUCAGCUCCUGCAAAUUCCCUAAUAGUGCAAUUUGUUGCUUUUUGUAACAGGGUGAGCGAUCGUGGAGUUUGCAUAGCGGACGUGAGUGAUCGUCCAAAAAAUCGUUCUAAAGUAUCUGGAAACCAAGUCAAAGGUGCUUCCUAACCCCGGGGCUACGAAAUACAACCAGUCUCCUCCGAAACGUCGUGAAUGGCAAAAGCGAACAAAAUCAUUUUCUACUUAUCUGAUUUUUUACUGCCCGGCCUUUUCUCUCUAGUGAAAAACCAGAUAAUAAACAUUUAGCAACUCAACUACGUACAAAAAAAACACAGUAAGUUAAUUCUUGAACUUUACAUUUCUACAAGAAUUAUCUUUUAAAAAUGAACAAGGAAACGAGGCUUUCAGUAACUGCGUCAAAUAACUAUUUUCAAGAUCGUCGGGACCUCACGAAGGAUCGUACUGAGAUUCUGCACUUAAGAAAACACACAGCGCUGGGGCUUUGAAACCAAAUGUUGACAGGCUAAGCACUAAUGUGUACAACUUUCUCGCACAGGCCACGACGUUUCUGUGAAAAAAAAUGCAGUAAACUACUCGCUGCUCUGUUAAACAGCAAAUAAACAACGGGGUCACGUCCGCGGAAAUCUUUCAAAAUGUUAAUUGCCUGAAGCUUACAGCAAACGCUCCUUUUUUUUGUUCUCUCUCCUUUUUUUCUAACCACUUUCUGCUGGGGUGCCUGCACUUUCCAAUCCAUAAAGUCACGCAGAUUCUGUUGUGGCUCUGCCUCGCUUACCCACAGCAACCGAGGUGAACUUUUCUUUUCUCCCCUACAACAAGGUGUUCGGCUCCCAGUGACUGAAGUCAUGUUGGGACACACACAGCGCUGCCAUCAUUACAGUCAAGUUAUUUUUAAACCUAGCCUACGGUUGCGGGCUCCUUUCCAUCAAAACAUUCAGCGUUAUUUCAGCUGAAUACUGCCUUUUAAAUCCACCAGCGAGCCUAGAGGGUGACUUUGGAAGACGUGAUACUUCGAUUCCACAUGUGCUGCUCUGGACCAACUUGACUGCACGCUCUCGCAAAAGUGCAAAAUGCUUGGACCCUUGUUACGAUGCCAAACCCAAAACACAACUGCUGCUUGUUUUAUGGAACAGAUCAAGAUGGACAACAGAAAGGCACUUAGAAGAAAUUGACAAAUAACUACCCCUGCUGAGAUUAUAGUGUUGAAAUGGAGCAGCACUGAUGCUAUUAACAUGGGAUUUGAAGAAAAUGGUAACCUGUAAGUUAAAAGCUGGUAGUUAGAAUUCCCAUCCAUUCAGAGGUAAGGAAUUAAAUAUUCAUCUAUAAUAAUAAUCAACCCUUGAGUUCUACAGAAAUCGAUAUGAGUAUCUACUUACAGUGGUAAAUGUAUGAAUUAUGACAGAAAACAUUUAACUUGCAAAACGUAUAAUAAUAUGAAUAAAAGAAAUUACUCCUCCAAUUCUCAAAAUUGUAUGCUGACUCAUGGAAAGCUUUCAGGAUUAAGCCACUUUAAAUUCAGUCACAGGAUGUGGCCCACUAUUUAUUAUCUAUCCCUUAUUUUUAUGAAUCAACCACAUUGCUCUGGGUUUGGAGUCACACGUAGGCCAGACCAGGUAAGGAUGACAGACCUCUUUCCCUAGAGAACAUUAGUUAAAUAAGUGGGUUUUUCCAACAAUCAACAGUGAUUUCAUAAUUAUCAUUAGACCCUUAAUUCCAGAUUCUUUAUUAAAUUCAAAUUCUAUCAUGCCAUGGUUCUUUCAGAUGUUGCAUCCACCACCUUAUGUUGAUGCCCUGUUGAAGGAGGUCAGUGAAUAUCCUCCACUAGUAAACUCAGGAUUUUCAUAUUACAAGUUAUACUGUCAUAUUUCAAGCUCAUUAUUUGCAAAAUUCUUACAAUUAACAUUGCGUAAAGCUUGUGGCAGUGAUUAUUUUGACUUUGUUGCCAGCUGUUUCUACCACAUAAGCUUUUUGUACCAAUGCUUAUACUUAGACAUGUACAGGUAGAAAGUUUUUUUUAAAUUACGUCCUUGUUGGACAUUAAAAAUGUGCAAAAGUGUGCAGAUUUGGAAGUGGAUCAGCUUGUGCCAGAUCCACACAAACACUGAACCCAUUGCUAAAUUUGUGAGGAAUAUAAUUUUAGACAUGAUUAAAAAUCUCAUGAAUCACAUGCUAUUGAUGUGGCUAAUACCCAUUUAAAAUGAUCCCCUUUAAACUUCCUUAGGCUUGCCUCAUCUGGGUUCUUCAGUGGCCCCCAAAAUUGCCGAUAGAAAACCAAGUGUUAGGAGCAUUUUAUUUUCAUCUAAACUUCCUGUGGAUCCAACCGGACGCUUAUUCCACUGUACUGGCGGUUACCCCCAUUGCAUCUAAUCUCAGACUAACUUCAGUUCAUUUCUUUCAUGGACUGAGAAGCCUAUUGAGGCACGCCAGAUGCCAGCAAUUCCUGUGAAUAACUAAGUAUAAUUUCAGGCAAUUUUAAGUUUCUCUGAAUUAUGUGCUCAUUGGGCACGCAGAGUGCAAUUGGUCCAGAAUUUGGCCUGCAUAAGAUAUAUUGUUAACUCCAAACAAACAGUAACAAGCUGAAUUCUUUGUAGCAAUAGACUGUAGAACUAACUAAUGACUAACAAAAUAAAAGGAGUCAACAAUAGACUGGCUUCUCCCAAAGACAGUCAUUUAUUUAUCAGUGAGUAGAACUAUUCCAAAGAUUCUGAAUUAACCCUUUUGGGCAAUUGCCUUAUUCAGCAUUUUCCUGAAGCUUUUUCCCCUUGUUUAAUUCAUUACACAAUUGCAAAGCAAGUCCACCAAAUGUACCACUGUCCCUUCAGGCCCGAGUCUCAGACUUUUCACGUUCUUCUAAAUUUAGAUGAGCAAUUUUUUUUUGCUUCAGGAUGUUCUCCUCAGAUAUUGCUCUUUGUCAUUCAGUGCCAUGUUGAGAUCUUUAUUUAGUGAACGUUUUUACUGAACAUAUUUGUUGGCGUUGGUAAUGAACAAAUUUCCUUCCGGAGGAUUUUGAAUUUUCUCAAUGCGUAUAAUGCAAAAUAGUUAAUGUGAUGAGUCAGUGAAGAAGUAAUCUCCUUUUGACUUUGUCAUGAGGUCACUUUCAGUGAAGGUCUUCCACUGUGAGCCCUGUUCUUUGAGCCCAAUCAGCAUUUUGUUUGAUUUUGUUGUUGUCAGUGGCACUGGCUGUGUAGUAUUAGAAUCUCUUUCUAGAUCAAUUGUGGCCGUAGACUGAUUAUGUUAAGAGUUAAGCCAGUCUUGAAAGUUCUCCCAUUGGUUAGGAACAAGUAAAUAACUUUUUAGCCCUGUGAAAAGUUUCUUCCCUAUUGGUAAUAUUAAACGGUAGUUUUAUACCAGCAUAACUGAUCUCAGUUAAUGUUCACUUCUUUCUGGGUCUAACCCAUAUUGCUUUGAGCACAGUAAAGCCUUCUUAUUCCUGAUGUAAGUCAAUUUGGUCAGUAAUGGAUCCCUUCUUGGAUUGCUGAAUCUGCUCCAAAUUUCAAGAUCUUCAGAGCAAAAUGUAUCUGCUACUCAGCAGGAAGUCUUCUGGUUCUGGAUGCCACAAGCACAUUUUGUGAACUGAUGAUCUUUAUGUCUCAAAGAAAUCUUUUACAUUCCUUUAAUCUUGAAGGUCAUUCUACAUGUUCACUAUACCAUCAGAUUUUCAGUUUGUAACUCUACAUUUUGCAAUCAAGGAGUUUCAUAAGGAGUAAUAUUUACUCCUACAUCAAGCUUGAAUUAAGUCGGAUGUCCAUUGACAUUGAUGAGCUCAAACAUGUCUGGUUCAGAUGAGUAGCUUGUUUCCAUGAGGAACUGUUGUGAUAUUUCUUCCAAAGAAAGAAUGCCAUCAUCUAAGAAUACAUGUUCGAAUGGAAGUAUCUUCUGGAAGCUAAAAUUAUUUUCUUAGGUUUUAAUCUUAGAUGCAACUAGUAUUGUUUCCAUUGUUUAAAGAUUGCAAAACAUCUCACUUUGUUCCAAAAGUGACAUUCUUGUGAUGGAGUUGGACGUUGCUUUUAUUAGUGUGGCAUUUUUGCCCCACAUCUUAGACAGUGAUGCCUAGAAUCAAAAGAUUUGAACACUGGCUUGUUUUGUGCUUGUGCUAUAUGAAGUUGAUAGGUUCGAUGGUCUUCAGGAGUAAAUCUUUCGUUCUGUUUCCCAGAUUUUUCUGUGGUUUUUCUGAAUGUCAGCUUCUAACACAAACUCCAUAUAACCUUGUUCAUUGUGAUAUCUUUCUUUAAUUGUAAAAGAUUUGAAAGAGAUGAAUCAGAAAUUCUCAUGACAAAUCUGUCUCUAAUUAGUUGUAAUAUUUCAUACUCACAAAAUUCAGACAGCGUAUCAAGAUCAUUGAUGAUGUUAUUGUGGUGAAUUCUAAUGGGAGUGCACUGGAAAACCAGCCCUACUACUCCAUUGGUCAUACUAAAUGUGAAAAUAUCUUAUUCGAUCACCAAAAAUGUCAAUUGUUUUUCUCCUCAUUACAGAUAACUAGAAGAAGGGUCUUUCACUGGGCUUUCCAAUAAGAUGUAUAAUAACAUGUUUCUUACAGGUAUUCCUGGACACCGGCAUCAUCUGAGAAAGAAUGACAAAUAGCAAAAUUCGCAACUGACCUUGGAGUUGGAGAGCUUACAGCAGGGGAGCAGCUAAGUGCUUUUAAAAAGUUGCGACGAGAGCGAUGUUGCAGUCCUCCAGCAUCUGUCUGAAUACUUUAUUCAGUAAGAAAGAAUACAGAAAUCCAGAAGGGAAGAAAUCAAAUGAGCCCAUAAUGGAUAUGAGCUAAUUGGCAAAAUUCAAAGUCUGUAAAGUGAUCAGAGCCAGACCUGAUCAUCCAUAUCAGCUUUCAGAACAUGAACUGAAAUGUAAAACUUUGGGAGACAAGGUCAUCAUCUGGCAUCGACGUGAAGUGGUUUUGCUGCUUCUUAUUAGUGCAUUACAUCAUCAUCUUUUGCAGGGACAGAGAUUUCUUCAGGUGCUUAUUCUGCUUAUUAAGGACAUAAUUAAAUUUGCACUAAAGAUACUCAAGAGCUUAUGAGUUUGAGAAAACUACACACGAAGAAAGCCUUUCCAGUGUAUUAAUCAGCCAAAACCUUUAUUCUGUAGCCUUCCCCCCUCCCUUAUUUGCUGGAAGCAAGCAAUCAGCAUCUAUUAUUACUAACAAACCCUCCUGAAAUUUAAUUGGGGUAAAAUCCACCAGAGCACUUGUUCUGUAAAAAUGAAUUCUCAGAACACUGCCUGUUCAACUUAAGUUUUUUUUAUCUUCAAUUGUGGAAUGCUUUUCAAUUAAGCUCAUCCUUUCUACUUAAAAAACUUUAGCCAAUUUUUUUUUGUUGCACAAAUACAAGUGGAAACAACUUAAAUGCUGGGAUAAACUCAAAAACACAAUAGCAGUUUGUCUGUGCCUAUCAACAAAAUGAGUCUGUUUUUUUCCCUCUAUUGUAGAUCUUACCAUUAUGCGAUAUCCAACAUAGGCCCCAAAAACGAGUCCCACAAAGUCCUUAGAACAUUAUUGUUUUAAAUAAAUCAAAGUUGCCUUGCGGCUUUACAUAGAAGAAGAAAUUAAGCAACUGCCUGGCAAAAGUACUUAUGAACUCUUAAACUAAUUAAUGUGCUGCAGACAAAGGUACAUUAUACCCGAGAACUUUAGGAAAAAUGCUAGUGGUCAUAUAUAUAACUGAUUGUGGUAUCUAGCUUGUCAUUAAUCUAAAAUUUAUUUUAGUAUUACAACUAGCUAAAAUUGUUCUUAAAUUUAUGUUUCAUGAACAAUCAUCAUUCACUUCUCCUAUUCCAACGGCUCGAACUUGAUUCUCAUUCAUAUGCAACUAACCUCUACAACUGAGUUUGCUAUGUUUCAGCAAGGCUGGAGUUGAAAUGACUUAGUAGAACGAUUGCACAAGUCAGGUCUGAUAAAAUCAUAGAGAACUUUAUCAACUUCUCUGCCCCCCCCGCACACCUCCCCCCCCCACCCCGUCCCCAUCAGCACACCCCACCUACCCUGUGUGCGAAGACUGCCUUCUGUUGGACAAUGCUGCAGAGAAGUCAAUUGGCUGGUCAGUGUUGGCCAGCGGUUUGAAUGAAAAUGCGAAAGCAGUGACAAAUUUGCUUUAAUAUGCUUUGCUCCCAACACCUGCUACUCCCAACUCCCAUUUCAUCCCAGUCUACUUUUGCAUUUUCUUUGUUCUUUAUUGGGAAGAGGAUUGUCUUUAAAGUUUUAUUGUGGGUUUCAAAUAAAAACGAUGAAAAACCUCUUUGACUCUUUAUGGGCUGAAGGACAUUUUGUUUGCAAGAAACAAAUGUGUUUUCCAGUUUGUUUGUUAAAAUUAACGCCCAUGUAAAACAUUCUAACAUUGAGUAUUUGGAACAUUCUUCAAACAAAAGGCCUUUAUUGAUUGUAAUAUAUAAAGAAAUUGAAAGAAAUUUUUUUUUGGAUGUGCAACUUGAAACGACACUUUGGUGCAAUAAUAAUCUUAUUCGACUAAUAUUAUUUUACUAACUUGAUGACAGCCAGAAAGCUAAGAUAGUAUUUUUAAAAAUAAUUUGGUUGUUUAAUACAUAAAGGUUGACAAGGACUUAUAUCUUUUUAUUUAAAAUUGUUUGUGUUUACAUGAGUGUCCAUCAUAUGUAUUCAGUGCUGUGUUGUCAUAACGUUGAGCAAGUUGGGAAAAAACAGACAGAAUGAAAAAAAUUAGAAUGUUGAUAUAGCAAAAAAUGUUUUGCAAAUUUACUCUUAAAUCUUAAAUGGUUUUUUGUUACCACAAUGUUGCCAGGACUGGAGGAUAUGAGUUAAAGGGAGAGGCUGUAUAGGCUGGGACUUCUUUCACUGGAGUGUACAGGUUGAGGUGUGACCUGAUAGAGGUUUAUAAAAUCAUGUGGGGCAGUGAUAAGGUGAAUAGUAAAGGUCUUUUCCAUAAAGUAGGGGAGUUCAACAAUCGAGGGCAUAUUUUUAAGUUGAGAGGAGAAACAUUUAAAAGAGACCUGAGGGGUAACUUUUUCACACAGAGGGUCGUUGACAUGUGAAAUAAACUGCCAGAGGAAGUGAUGCAGGCACUGUUACAACAUUUAAAUGACAUUUGGACAGGCACAUGAAUAGGAAAGAUUUAGAGGGAUAUGGGCCAAAUGCAACUAGUUUAGUUUGGGAAACUCAGCAUGGAGGAGUUGGGCCAAAAGUUCUGGUUCCAUGUUGUAUGACUCUUAUGACUUUAUUUCCAUACAUUUGCAUCUUAAUCAUACUGUACACCACUUCUAAUUCUCUGGUCCAUUCCUGAGAAACUCAACUGUGCAAGUUCCAAAUCAUAGGGCAGAGCAGGCACCUGGCAGGCAGCUCAAUGAUUGCCUGUCUUGCUAUCACCCCAUUAUAUCUGCACCAUAUUGCUCCUGCACAUUUUGUGGCUGCCAUAUUCCUUGAUGCUUCAUUCACACAAGUCAGCAUUGGCAACGUUAAUCCCACAUUAUCAUCAUCCCAGCUCUUGGACCAGCACACACACUACUUCAGUCCAUGAACAUUUUACUUAAAAGUUCAGGGACCCCUAAAACUUUCCUGCUUUUUCCAAGUUGCUUUAUGCACAGGGGUACAAGCAAACAUCUCAUAAAUUUGUAUAGGUUGCAUUUUAUAGACCUUAUCUUGCUUUGUUGGUGCUCACUCAUUCACCUUGCACCGUCUUUGCUGCCGCUUUUAAUCUACCUUGUAUUACUUCCAUUGGACAUGCUCACUGACUUCAGUACUGUAUUUCAAGCUGCCAGCCUCUCUGUAGGUUAAAUUAGGCUAAUUUUUCCUGUUUGCUCCAGUGAAGCAUUUUUUGGAGUGAGAGUCAUGAUGGGUGGUCUGCCAUGGCACUUGUCAACUUUCCCACUCAUUUGUCCACUCUUUAUUUCAUUAAUUAUGUGACCGACUAUUUUGUGGAAUUGUAUGGGAGAAGGGGCGGAUGCACCAUUGCUGCUUAGACUUUGCAACACUUAUGCCGUUGGCACCGUGCUUAUACUCCAGCUCGAAAACAUUUCACAAGCUGAAAGCUGCAAACUGCUUUUCGCAAUGACCCAGCCCUGUUAUCCCAAAGAAAAUGGCCCAGAAAAGGAAGUGAGUUUCUCAGUUCACUGACAGGGAGCUGGCUUGCUUGCUGGUUGGAGAGAUGGAGAGUAAUACAUUUCCAGGGGAGCAGUAAAAGAGGCCAUGCCACCAUCCUCAACCAGCCAGGGCUGAGAUAGUGACCCAGGUCAGUGCAAUGUGAGGUGAAAUGCAAUGCUCCACUGUGCAGGGAAAAGGUGAAUUGAUCUUUUGCAGUCCACUAGUGUAAAUGCCACUAUCUUCUCUCUUCUACUCACCAUUUGAGGACCACCACUACAUCUAAUUCAGUGACUGCACACCCAUCUCACCAAGGGUCAUGGAUUACAACUUUGACUACUGCAUGCAGCAU